RNAcentral lists this ribosomal RNA (494 nucleotides) under uncultured bacterium. Its description in RNAcentral is "partial 16S ribosomal RNA". It matches the Rfam family "Bacterial small subunit ribosomal RNA", at positions 28 to 507 of the family's 1533-position model. The record is from RNAcentral.
GACGAACGCUGGCGGCGUGCUUAACACAUGCAAGUCGAACGGAAAGGCCUGCUUUCCCUUGUGGAUUGCGGGUACUCGAGUGGCGAACGGGUGAGUAACACGUGAGUGAUCUGCCCCCAACUUGGGUAUAAGCCUGGGAAACUGUGUCUAAUUCCCGUUAGGACUGCAGGGUUGUGCCUGUGGUGGAAAACGUUUUUCUAGUUGUUGGGGAUGAGCUCGAGGCCUAUCAGCUUGUUGGUGGGGUAGUUUCCUACCAAGGCGGCGACGAGUAGCCGGAGGGAGAGGGUGGACGGCCAAACUGAGACUGAGUCAAGGCCCAGACGCGAAGGGGAGGUAGCAGUGGGGAAGAUUGCACAAUGGGCGGGAGCCAGAAGCAGCGAGGCCGUGUGGGGGAUGACGGGAUUGGAGUUGUAAGCUACUUUCGAACGCGAGGAAGCCACGUGGCUGGAAGGGUGGUGACGGUAGUGGAAGAAGAAGCAACGGCUAACUACGUG